Molecule: long non-coding RNA, 100 nt
Organism: Thalassophryne amazonica
Lineage: Eukaryota; Metazoa; Chordata; Actinopteri; Batrachoidiformes; Batrachoididae
Exons: 3
Source: RefSeq, a predicted model, not a curated record
UUUUUACCUCCGCCGACGAAGUUGGGUGGAGGUUGUUGUCGCCACUGUUUGUUUGUUUAUUUGUUUGUUUGUUUGAUGUGAGGUGCAGACUGGCACUCAC